Molecule: ribosomal RNA, 445 nt
Filed under: uncultured bacterium
Lineage: Bacteria
Description: partial 16S ribosomal RNA
Rfam family: Bacterial small subunit ribosomal RNA
Source: RNAcentral
GUGAGGAAUAUUGGUCAAUGGACGGAAGUCUGAACCAGCCAUGCCGCGUGCAGGAAUAAGGUCCUAUGGAUUGUAAACUGCUUUUAUUCGGGAAUAAACCUCUUUACGUGUAGGGAGCUGAAGGUACCGAAGGAAUAAGCACCGGCUAACUCCGUGCCAGCAGCCGCGGUAAUACGGAGGGUGCAAGCGUUAUCCGGAAUCAUUGGGUUUAAAGGGUCCGCAGGCGGGCUAUCAAGUCAGAGGUGAAAUCCCACAGCUUAACUGUGGAACUGCCUUUGAAACUGAUGGUGUUGAAUUAAGUGGGCGUUGGCGGAAUAUGACAUGUAGCGGUGAAAUGCAUAGAUAUGUCAUGGAACACCGAAAGCGAAGGCAGCUAACGAUACUUAUAUUGACGCUCAUGGACGAAAGCGUGGGUAGCGAACAGGAUUAGAAACCCUGGUAGUCC